Molecule: ribosomal RNA, 395 nt
Filed under: uncultured bacterium
Lineage: Bacteria
Description: bacterial SSU rRNA
Rfam family: Bacterial small subunit ribosomal RNA
Source: RNAcentral
GACGAACGCUGGCGGCGUGCUUAACACAUGCAAGUCGAGCGGUAAGGCCCUUCGGGGUACGACGAGCGGCGAACGGGUGAGUAACACGUGGGUGACCUGCCUCUAGCUCUGGGAUAAGCCUGGGAAACUGGGUCUAAUACCGGAUAUGACUCCACGGCGCAUGUUGUGGGGUGGAAAGCCUUGUGUGGCUAGAGAUGGGCCCGCGGCCUAUCAGCUUGUUGGUGGGGUGAUGGCCUACCAAGGCGACGACGGGUAGCCGGCCUGAGAGGGCGACCGGCCACACUGGGACUGAGACACGGCCCAGACUUCUACGGGAGGCAGCAGUGGGGAAUCUUGCGCAAUGGGCGAAAGCCUGACGCAGCGACGCCGCGUGAGGGAUGACGGCCUGGUGUAAC